CAAAAACAUCGCCUCCUGCAAAAAUCAACGUAUAAGAGGUCCUACCUGCCCAGUGACUAAGUUAAACGGCCGCGGUAUUUUGACCGUGCAAAGGUAGCGCAAUCACUUGUCUUUUAAAUAAAGACCUGUAUGAAUGGUGAAACGAGGGCUUAACUGUCUCCCUUUUCUGAUCAGUGAAAUUGAUCUACCCGUGCAGAAGCGGGUAUAAAUAUACAAGACGAGAAGACCCUAUGGAGCUUUAGACAAAAAGUCAUCUAUGUUAAAAAACUCUAAUAAAAGAAAUAAAACAAAAUAGCAACUGACCAAUGUCUUCGGUUGGGGCGACCACGGAGGAAAACAAAUCCCCCAUGUGGAACGGGAAACUCCCCUAAAACCACGAGGUACACCUCUAAGUCACAGUACUUCUGACCAAAGGAUCCGGCACUUAGCCGAUCAACGAACCAAGUUACCCUAGGGAUAACAGCGCAAUCCCCUCCGAGAGUCCUUAUCGACAAGGGGGUUUACGACCUCGAUGUUGGAUCAGGACAUCCUAAUGGUGCAGCCGCUAUUAAGGGUUCGUUUGUUCAACGAUUAAAGUCCUACGUGAUCUGAG
RNAcentral lists this ribosomal RNA (592 nucleotides) under Poptella paraguayensis. Its description in RNAcentral is "partial 16S large subunit ribosomal RNA". It matches the Rfam family "Bacterial large subunit ribosomal RNA", at positions 1808 to 2609 of the family's 2925-position model. Lineage: Eukaryota; Metazoa; Chordata; Actinopteri; Characiformes; Acestrorhamphidae. The record is from RNAcentral.